Molecule: ribosomal RNA, 792 nt
Filed under: uncultured archaeon
Lineage: Archaea
Description: bacterial SSU rRNA
Rfam family: Archaeal small subunit ribosomal RNA
Source: RNAcentral
ACUGCUCAGUAACACGUGGACAACCUACCCUUGGGACGGGGAUAAACCCGGGAAACUGGGUAUAAUACCCGAUAGUCCUCGACUGCUGGAAUGCAUCGAGGUCGAAAGCUCCGGUGCCCAAGGAUGGGUCUGCGGCCUAUCAGGUAGUAGUGGGUGUAGCGUACCUACUAGCCUACGACGGGUACGGGUUGUGAGAGCAAGAGCCCGGAGAUGGAUUCUGAGACACGAAUCCAGGCCCUACGGGGUGCAGCAGGCGCGAAAACUUUACAAUGCUGGAAACAGCGAUAAGGGAACCUCGAGUGCCAGGUUACAAAUCUGGCUGUCGUGAUGCCUAAAAAGCAUUGCAUAGCAAGGGCCGGGCAAGACCGGUGCCAGCCGCCGCGGUAACACCGGCGGCUCGAGUGGUAACCGUUAUUAUUGGGUCUAAAGGGUCUGUAGCCGGCCGGAUAAGUCUCUUGGGAAAUCCAGCAGCUUAACUGUCAGGCUUUCAGGAGAUACUGUCUGGCUCGAGGCCGGGAGAGGUGAGAGGUACUUCAGGGGUAGGGGUGAAAUCUUGUAAUCCUUGAAGGACCACCAGUGGCGAAGGCGUCUCACCAGAACGGACCUGACGGCAAGGGACGAAAGCUAGGGGCACGAACCGGAUUAGAUACCCGGGUAGUCCUAGCCGUAAACGAUACUCGCUAGGUGUCGGCCACGGUGCGACCGUGGUCGGUGCCGUAGGGAAGCCGUGAAGCGAGCCACCUGGGAAGUACGGCCGCAAGGCUGAAACUUAAAGGAAUUGGCGGGGGAGCA